AACGAACGCUGGCGGCAUGCCUAACACAUGCAAGUCGAACGAGACCUUCGGGUCUAGUGGCGCACGGGUGCGUAACGCGUGGGAACCUGCCCUUAGGUUCGGAAUAACUCCCCGAAAGGGGUGCUAAUACCGGAUAAUGUCUUCGGACCAAAGAUUUAUCGCCUUUGGAUGGGCCCGCGUUGGAUUAGCUAGUUGGUAGGGUAAAAGCCUACCAAGGCGACGAUCCAUAGCUGGUCUGAGAGGAUGAUCAGCCACACUGGGACUGAGACACGGCCCAGACUCCUACGGGAGGCAGCAGUGGGGAAUAUUGGACAAUGGGCGAAAGCCUGAUGCAGCAAGGCCGCGUGAGUGAUGAAGGCCUUAGGGUUGUAAAGCUCUUUUACCCGGGAUGAUAAUGACAGUACCGGGAGAAUAAGCUCCGGCUAACUCCGUG
RNAcentral lists this ribosomal RNA (433 nucleotides) under uncultured bacterium. RNAcentral's name for it is "partial 16S ribosomal RNA". It matches the Rfam family "Bacterial small subunit ribosomal RNA", at positions 29 to 507 of the family's 1533-position model. The record is from RNAcentral.